AAAUUGAAGAGUUUGAUCAUGGCUCAGAUUGAACGCUGGCGGCAGGCCUAACACAUGCAAGUCGAACGGUAACAGGAAGCAGCUUGCUGCUUUGCUGACGAGUGGCGGACGGGUGAGUAAUGUCUGGGAAACUGCCUGAUGGAGGGGGAUAACUACUGGAAACGGUAGCUAAUACCGCAUAACGUCGCAAGACCAAAGAGGGGGACCUUCGGGCCUCUUGCCAUCGGAUGUGCCCA
Molecule: ribosomal RNA, 236 nt
Filed under: Escherichia coli
Lineage: Bacteria; Pseudomonadati; Pseudomonadota; Gammaproteobacteria; Enterobacterales; Enterobacteriaceae
Also listed under: 2 other names
Description: partial 16S ribosomal RNA
Rfam family: Bacterial small subunit ribosomal RNA
Source: RNAcentral